Thunnus maccoyii (southern bluefin tuna) is the source of this 440-nucleotide long non-coding RNA. RefSeq lists it as uncharacterized. NCBI's taxonomy places the organism in Eukaryota, Metazoa, Chordata, Actinopteri, Scombriformes, Scombridae. The transcript is spliced from 3 exons. The record is from RefSeq and is a predicted model, not a curated record.
UCUCCACUCACACAAUCAGACACACACACACGGGGAGAGAGGGGAAAGGAGCCACUCGAUGAGUGGCAGCAGGUCAGGGAGAUAAAGGAUCAUGACAAUUUCUCCUUCAAUUCUGAGAAAUCAAGUUUUUUUUGUCAGUUUUGGAUAGCAGAAGGCUAUAUUACCCAUGAUCCUCAGCCACUGUUGCUAUGGAGACGGAGCCAGUCUGCUUUGCAUUACCCAUUACAAAACUGUUUGGUACCAGAAGGAACCAGAUAAACCAGGCCAGCACUGAGAGGCUCAGGACGAGCUUCUAACCUCAGGCCAACAGGACCCCCUCCUAACACGUAUUCUCUUUGAACUCUUUUUAACGCACAGAUUAAAGGAACUGUCGGAAUUACAUUUCACUGUGAUUGUGCUUUAUAUGAUUACAUGUGACAAAUAAACUUGAUUCAUUCAUU